This 410-nucleotide ribosomal RNA is filed under the name uncultured Flavobacteriia bacterium. Its description in RNAcentral is "bacterial SSU rRNA". It matches the Rfam family "Bacterial small subunit ribosomal RNA", at positions 370 to 779 of the family's 1533-position model. Lineage: Bacteria; Pseudomonadati; Bacteroidota; Flavobacteriia. The record is from RNAcentral.
GAUGGAGGCAACUCUGAUCCAGCCAUGCCGCGUGAAGGGAGACGGCCUAUGGGUUGUAAACUUCCUUUAUACAGGAAGAACCUUUCCACGUGUGGAAAGUUGACGGUACUGUAAGAAUAAGGAUCGGCUAACUCCGUGCCAGCAGCCGCGGUAAUACGGAGGAUCCAAGCGUUAUCCGGAAUUAUUGGGUUUAAAGGGUCCGCAGGCUGUUUGUUAAGUCAGAGGUGAAAUCCUACCGCUCAACGGUAGAACUGCCUUUGAUACUGGCAAACUUGAGUUAUUGUGAAGUAGUUAGAAUGUGUAGUGUAGCGGUGAAAUGCAUAGAUAUUACACAGAAUACCGAUUGCGAAAGCAGAUUACUAACAAUAUACUGACGCUGAGGGACGAAAGCGUGGGUAGCGAACAGGAUU